RNA transcript from Pogoniulus pusillus (Red-fronted tinkerbird), 2707 nucleotides. It is a transcript of the gene named protein disulfide-isomerase TMX3-like, with no coding region annotated. The transcript has 6 exons. Lineage: Eukaryota; Metazoa; Chordata; Aves; Piciformes; Lybiidae. The record is from RefSeq and is a predicted model, not a curated record.
GCUGAGGCUGUCAGACUUGCAACCAUCUCUGCAGUCUGUCUGUGCCGGUUUGCCAUGGUUUGGAGCUCUGCCCCAGAGGGUUGUUCUGAGCUGCCUUUGAAGAGGUCUGCUGCAAAUGAAGCCCUGCAGCUGAGCAAGGGCAGAGGCCACCAAGCUCAGCAGGAGCCAGCAGUGUGCACUUGUGGCUGAGAAGGCCAGCAGGAUGCUGGGCCGCAUGCCGAGUGUGAGCAGCAGGUUGCGGGAGGUUCUCCUGCCCCUGUGCUCUGUCUUAGCGAGGCCAGCCCUGGGGUGCUGAGUCCAGUUGUGGGCUCACCAGUUGAGGAGAGGCAGGAAACUACUGGAGAGAGUCCAGUGGAGGUGCCAGAGGUGCUGAGGGACCUGGAGCAGCUGUGUGAGGAGGAAAGGCCUCUCCUCAUAGGGUUUGUGUUCCAGGCCCCUCCCCAGCUUUGCUGCCCUUCUCUGGACACCUUCCAGCACCUCGACAUUUCCCCUGAAUUGAGGAGCCCACAACUGGACACAGUACUCAAAGUGUGGCCUGAGCAGUGCUGAGCACAAGGGCAGAAGAACCUCCCUUGUCCUGUUGGCCACACUGCUCCUGAGCCAGCCCAGGAUGCUGUUGGCUCUGCUGCCCACCUGGGCACACUGCUGCCUCCUCUUCAGGUCCUCUCUCCCAGCACCCCCAGGGCCCUCUCUGCCUGUCUGCUCUGAGCCACUCUGUCCCCAGCCUGCAGUGCUGCUCGGGGUUGUUGUGGCCAAAGUGCAGAACCCUGCCCUUGGCCUUGUUCAAUCUCAUCCCUCUAUUAAAUGUGGCCUCUGUUAAAUUAACUUCUCUAUUACAACUGUAACUUAGGUUUUCCUUAGUUAACUCUGCAGGGCAUUAGGCACAUUCAAAGUUAUGUCAGUUUGUAACUGGGGCUGUAAAGAAUGGUUAUGCAUUGCCUGUGCUUCUGAUUUCAGGAGAGUCCCAUUUCAUUCUUGAUGCUUUCUUUAAGAGAGGCAUACAACUGAGCUCCCUCAGAGAAGCAGCAUGAAGUGCAUGAAGGAUGCUGGCUGCACUCAGUACAGACAAGGCACAUUGGAGUAGGUUAACAAGAUGCUUGACAUUUGCCCUUAAUGGUCAUUGUCUUCAAAUGCAUCAUUCGGGAGUGAAGUUGCUUGGCAUUUGCAGUUGACUACUUCUUCUCUGGCCUUUGGAGUGAAGGAAGGGAAAAACCAGAGUUGAAGAUGUCAGCUCUGUAAGUUUUCUCUGGGUGAUCAAAGCAUGCACAACAUCCUGUGCUUGUGCUCUGGAAGAUUCUAGGAGCUUCACGGGGACUCAGGGAGCACAAGUUCUGGAUUUCUGUGGGCUGUCUCUAGAUGAACACCUGAGUGCAGUGAAUCUAAAAGCAGCUGUCUCUCAUUUGAAGUUAAAGUGAUGUGACUGAUCUGGUGCUUUAUAGGUGCCAAAAAGGAGACCUUCUUCACCUGCUUCUCCUGUGCAGGCUCUUCUGUCUGUCUGCUGAGAUGUUUCUGGCUGUUUCUCUGGCAGAGAAGUGUUUGCUUUUUGGGCUGGCGAGCUGACCAUCCGUACUACCGUCGCCUUGAAUGCCUCCAACCAGCAGUGUUCGCUGCCAGACAGACACCUGGAGAAGACAGAGGACAUGGUUAAGUUCAUGAAGGAUAUCUUGGAUGGUGCUGCUGAAGCACAGGCUGGUGAUGGACUUCUGCAACGAAGCAAGAGAGUCCUCUAUGAGGCCAAGGCUGCUGUAAUGGAGGUUGGAUCCUCGAAGGUUUUGCUCUGGGUUCUGCGAUGGAGGCAAAGAUGGAGCAGGAGCACCAACUGGAGCUGGUAACGGACCAGCAGCAGCAGCUGAUAAACCAAGAGCAAGUGCGACUGAAAGAGCUUUGCAGAAAGCAGGAGUCAGCCACCUGCCACCCAUCCCCUCCUGACCCCAACCCCAGAAACCCAAAGCAGCACUUGGCACAGGAGGUCUCUCGUGUUGCAGUCUCAACUUCAAGCCCUGGAAUACUUUGCUUCAGCCAGCAGCAUGGGGUUGGAUACCAACAGCAGAGUCGACUUAACCUGUGACUAAGUGAACUUUAAGUGUUCUGACUCCACAGUAGAACCUGAUAAAGAAAGAUGUGAAUGGAAGCAGGCUCUGACUGCUCUGUGUAACUGAUGAGAAGCUUUCUGAAGGAGGUGAAUUUGUUUUACAGCCCUUCCCUCAGCUGGUUACAGAUCUUCAAGGUAGCUGCUGGUGCAGUGUCUGUUGGAGACUGUUAGCCACUCUGAAGGAGGGAGUUAGUGGAGCAUCAUAGGACCAUGUAGAGAGAUUGGUCAGGAAAAGGCAUUUGUGUUACCCUUUUGAGUCAUUUGAGUCACUUUUAUUGUAAUCCCAUGGCUGAGAGCAGGACUCCUUUGUGUCCAGGGUUAAAAUCUUCAAGGAGAAACAGUGCCAAGGCUCUGAAUUGAUUGGGACUUGGUGCUGCUAGUUACAAUGUAGGACAGUUAAGGCAGUCCUAUGUUUUGUGAUUUGCCUUUUUUCCUGCCGUUCUAGUUUUGGCUCGGGCUAGUGUGAAGUGUCUCUGGAACGAGGUCCUUGUGGUCCCUUCUGACCCUGACUGAUUCUGUGAUUCCAGCAAGCAGCUUUUGACUUAAAAACCCCUGAGGUCACUGCAGCACCUCUCUAUGGAAUAAAAGAAAGGGAUUUUGCUGCACUGCUGAGAA